Molecule: microRNA precursor, 60 nt
Organism: Monodelphis domestica (gray short-tailed opossum)
Lineage: Eukaryota; Metazoa; Chordata; Mammalia; Didelphimorphia; Didelphidae
Rfam family: mir-7371 microRNA precursor family
Source: Rfam
CUUUGUACAAGAUGCUCUGUUUUGUAAAUAUCAUCAAAUAGAGCAUACUUGUGCAAAGGA